RNAcentral lists this long non-coding RNA (1005 nucleotides) under Homo sapiens (human). Its description in RNAcentral is "HSALNT0264113". Lineage: Eukaryota; Metazoa; Chordata; Mammalia; Primates; Hominidae. The record is from RNAcentral.
GGCAACCGCUGUCAUGAAGGAUUUUUUAAAAUUCAAUUUUGAUUUUGCUGGAAUCCCGUAAAGGCUUUCGUUUUGAUUUCAAGUUUAAUUUCAGAUAGACUCUCCUGUAAUUCACCUUCCCAGGAAAAGUCUUUUUUCCCCCCUCUGAUCUGGCUGUUCAUGAGUGCUGUCCUUUGCCUCUCUUAGUUAGGGCUGGGUGAAACCCGUCAGGCUCACAUCCAUGGCUUUGAUUGUCUCUCUUUUUACUUCCUGUAUUGGAUGUUUCUCACGUUUUCAAUUGUAUUUAUGCUUAAUUUUCCAAACAUCUCUGUUCUGAACAGAGAAAAAUAUCUUAUUUGGAUAUAUACCCUAAAUAGUGAUAAUAAUAAGUUAUUAUUACAGUAACGCGCAUUUACCGAGCACUUACUGUGUGGCACGUGCACCAUGUUCCCUCCCACUUUGUUUCAUUGCAGCAGCUUUUUUUUCCCCCAGGAUGCUCUUCAUCCUGCUGCCCUUUCUUAACCCUUACUUAUACCUUAGGCCUCUGCUGACUGGGAAUUUCUCAAGAAAUUCUUGCAAAGUCCCUCACGGCAUCAUGAACUGCUCCUUCCUUGCUUACAUCACAAUUGUAGCUUGGCUUUUAUUUAUGGGUAGGCUUCAUACACCACUGCACUCGGGAUCUGCCUUCCACUCAUCUUCCCACUGAUCCUCCCCAUCCCUGCCCACCUUCUUUUUCCAUUAGCCCAAGACAACUGACAACAUGAUAUACGUGGCAGGCGAGACCACCAGGUGAGGUAAGAAGGUAUUCCCAAGACAACUCCCACAAAAUUUGGGGGAUGUUAUGAGUGGUGGGAACCCAUGGAAAGUGGUAGAAGAAUCACUGUCCAUGUGGUGGAUUUAAAGCAUUUCAAGGCUCCCCAGAGCACAGAGCUUGCAUGUUGCUCAAGCAUGGUCCUUAAUUAGGGGCUGCAAGAAAGAUGCAAACCUGGACAUUAAGCCAUUCCAUAAUGAUCAGGGUGACCCAAG